Molecule: long non-coding RNA, 510 nt
Organism: Maylandia zebra (zebra mbuna)
Lineage: Eukaryota; Metazoa; Chordata; Actinopteri; Cichliformes; Cichlidae
Source: RefSeq, a predicted model, not a curated record
UUCCUCUUUGAAACUUAAUAUUGUUUCUUAUAUCCCAAACUUUGCGGCUGAACGGCCUGAUCCACACAGCACAUGUUGCUUAGCAACUUUCGCUUUAACAGAGAGUCAGAUGAGGAGCUGUGGCAACAGCGGUGCAAAGCAAGUACGCUCUGGACUAAAAGUACAUGCUGCUGUUUAGAGUUUCAUGUGAAGUCCGUCUGGUUUUGCCCACCUUUGAAGUUUAAAGCAUUUUGCAUCAGGACAUUUAUGACAACGCCUGGAUUUUCUCUUACACAGACAGAUGAUGCCUCAAAGCAAGUCUCAUCUCUGGGCUUGUUUGGACAUUUUGCCUCAAAAGAGAGUGGAACACAGGACUGCAAGACACACGGGGUGUGUGAAGGCACAGGGGCAGAGAGCACGGGAUACCAGCACUUGGGAGAAGACAUGUCACGGGAGUCGAGGGAGCACUUUUGGAGAUUCAAUGUGUGGUGUACAUUUACCUCACUGUAAAUAAACCCACUGUUCAUUUCA